CAACCAAAUUACUCGAAUUAAAUGAAUGCAGAGGAGAAAUAUUUCUUCACUUAAGGUGUCCAUGGGCGACGGCACUCGUGGUCGUGGCAGAUACAGUGUAUGACUAGACCAUAUAAAACUUGAUGGGCGAGACAAGAAAUCCUUUAUGAAGAAAGCUAUUUACGUUAGCCAAGGGGCUGAUAGAAAGAAUAUUUAAUAAAUUAAUUGGAAUAAUAAAUAUUUUCCUCGUGAUGGUGUGAUAAAAUAAAUUCGUGUUGCGCUCUGUAGCAAAGUUUGUUUAACCCUCAUGCCUUGAAGUCCCCGCAACUGUCAAUACAAUUUUAUUUUAAAACCGCUGUCGCUUCUCUUGUGGUUCAAUUUUGUAAUUUUUCUUACGUUUGAGUAUCCAUAUGCUACUAUGAGGUGUUAAACAACAACUUUGCCUUUUGUAUUUCUAGGUAAUACAACUGAAUUAUUGCUUCUUUUAUCUCAAAAAUGGCUUUGAAAUGACAAAGUGAGAAAGUGUCACGAUAUUAUACACCGUGGGCUGGUAAAACCUGAUAGUUUUAAAGUUGUAUUCUUAAUCG
Molecule: long non-coding RNA, 566 nt
Organism: Cydia pomonella (codling moth)
Lineage: Eukaryota; Metazoa; Arthropoda; Insecta; Lepidoptera; Tortricidae
Exons: 2
Source: RefSeq, a predicted model, not a curated record